This 253-nucleotide ribosomal RNA is filed under the name uncultured bacterium. RNAcentral describes it as "partial 16S ribosomal RNA". It matches the Rfam family "Bacterial small subunit ribosomal RNA", at positions 524 to 776 of the family's 1533-position model. The record is from RNAcentral.
UACGGAGGGGGCUAGCGUUGUUCGGAAUUACUGGGCGUAAAGCGCGUGUAGGCGGGUCCUUAAGUCGGGGGUGAAAGCCCGGGGCUCAACCUCGGAACUGUCUUCGAUACUGAGGACCUGGAGUCUGGGAGAGGUGAGCGGAAUUCCGAGUGUAGAGGUGAAAUUCGUAGAUAUUCGGAGGAACACCAGAGGCGAAGGCGGCUCACUGGACCAGUACUGACGCUGAGACGCGAAAGCGUGGGGAGCAAACAGG